ACCUGGUUUGAUCCUGCCAGUAGUCAUAUGCUUGUCUCAAAGAUUAAGCCAUGCAUGUCUAAGUAUAAACCGCUUGAGUCGCAAGGCUCAAAACGGGUGAAACUGCGAAUGGCUCAUUAAAUCAGCAAUCGUUUACUUGAUUGUGUGCUAUUAUGGAUUUGGCUGGGGGGUUCGCCUCUCAGUCAAAGCUAUUAUGGCUGUAUGGAUAACCGUGGUAAUUCAAGAGCUAAUACAUUAUUAACAAGAGGUCGACUUUUCGCAAGAGAGGAAGAUCUGCAUUUAUUAGAUACAAUUGCAAAACCGAAACUCCCGGGCAACCGGGGUUUUAAUAUGUUGGUGAUUCAUAGUGACUGUGCGAAUCGCAUGACACUCACUCUCACGAGUGAGAUUUUGUCGGCGAUGGAUCAUUCAAAUUUCUGACCCAUCAAUUCUCGAUGGUUGGAUAGAGGCCAACCAUGUUGACGACGGGUAACGGAGAAUUGGGGUUCGAUUCCGGAGAGGGAGCCUGGAGAAACGGCUCCCACUUCCAAGGAAGGCAGCAGGCGCGCAAAUUGCCCAAUCCUAAUACAGGGAGGCAGUGACAAGAAAUAACAAUGCAGGCCUCUUGAAAUAUAGAGACUGCAAUUGGAAUGAGAUCAAUUUAAAACGCUUAACAAGGAACAAUUGGAGGGCAAGUCUGGUGCCAGCAGCCGCGGUAAUUCCAGCUCCAAUAGCGUAUGCUAAAAUUGCUGUAGUUGAAAAGCUCGUAGUUGGAUUUCGGAGUAAAAAGGAUGGGCUGGAGUGAUUAGCUCAAAAGGUUAAUGUACUCCACCUAUCUGUCGAGAUUUAACUUGGAAUGAGGAAUCAGCUGCUUUUUUAAGUGGCGGAUUUUUCUUCCGAGGUCUCUUUACUCCUUUUUCUUGAAUGGAGAUUUUCUUAUUUGCGUCGUUUCGGCGGCGUAAAGGGAUUUUUUCAUUCAAGAAGGUAUGACUGGUUUGCUCGUAGCUAUUCUUUAUUGAAUAGCUAUUAUCUCAGAGAAAGCGUGAGGAGAAAUCUUUACGCGUUGUAUCUGGGGUUUGGUGUUAGGGAGUUAUUUUCCUUAACAACAGAGCUCCAGUCCGUUUACCUUGAAUAAAUCAGAGUGUUCAAAGCAGGCUUAAAUUCGGCCGUCAAACGUCGAAAAACGCCUUGUAUGCUUCAGCAUGGGAUAAUGGAACAGGACCAGGUUGGGUCACGUGCAUAUUUCGUUUUGGUUUUCAGCCGUGAACAAAUUGAAUCUAAUAAAUUCACCCAACCGGUGAUGAUUGACAGGGACUGUCGGGGACAUUGGUAUUUAAUUGUCAGAGGUGAAAUUCUUGGAUUAAUUAAAGACCAACUUCAGCGAAGGCAUUUGCCAAGGAUGUUUUCAUUUAAUCAAGAACGAAAGUUGGGGGAUCGAAGAUGAUCAGAUACCGUCGUAGUCCCAACCGUAAACGAUGCCGACCAGGGAUCGGGAAUGGAAGUAAACAAAAAGGUGAUAGCAGUCCCUACGGGGGCUGUGUGUAACUGAAUCGUCCUUCCCGGCACCUUACAUAUUUUAUCUUUCCGGGAAACCACGAGUUUUUGGGUUCUGGGGGGAGUCUGGUCGCAAGGCUGAAACUUAAAGGAAUUGACGGAAGGGCACCACCAGGAGUGGAGCCUGCGGCUUAAUUUGACUCAACACGGGGAAACUCACCAGGUCCAGACUUGACGAGGAUUGACAGAUUGACAGCUCUUUCUUGAUUUCAAGGGUGGUGGUGCAUGGCCGUUCUUAGUUGGUGGAGCGAUCUGUCUGGUUAAUUCCGAUAACGAACGAGACCUCGGCCUACUGAAUAGUGAUGCCAAUCUUUCUUUCAACAUUCAUAGAAAAUGUAUUGGUCGAGGGGAUUGAAGUGCAAAUGGAUGUCUUCUCGGCCAGUGCUUUUCUGUAGAGUCAGGAUUUUUUUGUUAGUUAGAGGGGCAACCCUCUGAUUAAUGAAUGCCUGGUUAUCUACCGAUGGUUAGAUUGUCGUAGUACACUUCUCAGAGGGACCACUUCGCGCUUUAAGCCAGCGAGUGGAAGAUCGAGGCAAUAACAGGUCUGUGAUGCCCUUCAGAUGUUCUGGGCCGCACGCGCGCUACACUGACGGAGACCAACGAGCGAUGGCGAUAACAAUUAAAGUGCGCCUUUUGCAAGGCCUUUCGGGGUUUUGUAAGAGACGUAUUUUUUGUUAUCGGCGACCUGGGCCGAAACAGGCUUUGGGCAAUCUUGGUAAACUCUGUCGUGCUGGGGAUCGAUCCUUGUAACUGUGGGUCGUCAACGAGGAAUUCCUCGUAGGCGCGGUUCAUCAGACCGCGUCGAAUGCGUCCCUGCCCUUUGUACACACCGCCCGUCGCUCCUACCGAUUGAAUGGUCCGGUGAAGUCUUUGGAGCUGGAUUUCGGUCUUUUUUCCUCGUGAAAGAAGAUUUUUGAAAUCCUCUUGUGGCGAAGUUGACUGAACCUUAUCAUUUAGAGGAAGGAGAAGUCGUAACAAGGUAUCCGUAGGUGAACCUGCAGAAGGAUCAAGCC
Molecule: ribosomal RNA, 2546 nt
Filed under: Sappinia sp. YQ-2015
Lineage: Eukaryota; Discosea; Longamoebia; Thecamoebida
Description: partial 18S ribosomal RNA
Rfam family: Eukaryotic small subunit ribosomal RNA
Source: RNAcentral